GAUGAAGAACGCAGCGAAAUGCGAUAAGUAAUGUGAAUUGCAGAAUUCAGUGAAUCAUCGAAUCUUUGAACGCACAUUGCGCCCGCCAGUAUUCUGGCGGGCAUGCCUGUUCGAGCGUCAUUACAACCCUCAGGCCUCCGGGCCUGGCGUUGGGGAUCGGCGGAAGCCCCCUGCGGGCACAACGCCGUCCCCCAAAUACAGUGGCGGUCCCGCCGCAGCUUCCAUUGCGUAGUAGCUAACACCUCGCAACUGGAGAGCGGCGCGGCCACGCCGUAAAACACCCAACUUCUGAAUGUUGACCUCGAAUCAGGUAGGAAUACCCGCUGAACUUAAGCAUAUCAUAAGCGGAGGA
This 352-nucleotide unclassified non-coding RNA is filed under the name soil metagenome. Its description in RNAcentral is "partial contains 5.8S ribosomal RNA, internal transcribed spacer 2, and large subunit ribosomal RNA". The stretch from base 1 to 120 matches the Rfam family "5.8S ribosomal RNA", at positions 35 to 154 of the family's 154-position model. The record is from RNAcentral.